Molecule: ribosomal RNA, 594 nt
Filed under: uncultured euryarchaeote
Lineage: Archaea; Methanobacteriati; Methanobacteriota
Description: bacterial SSU rRNA
Rfam family: Archaeal small subunit ribosomal RNA
Source: RNAcentral
CUGGUUGAUCCCGGCGGAGGCCACUGCUAUCGAGGUCCGAUUAAGCCAUGCGAGUCGAGAGGGGUAAAGCCCUCGGCGAACGGCUCAGUAACACGUGGGAUAACCUACCCUCAGAUCUGGGAUAACUCCGGGAAACUGGAGAUAAUACCGGAUAAUCCGUGAACGCUGGAAUGCCUCACGGCUGAAAGCUUUAGCGUCUGAGGAUGGGUCUGCGGCCGAUUAGGUANUUGCUGGGGUAACGUCCCAACAAGCCUAUAAUCGGUACGGGUUGUGAGAGCAAGAGCCCGGAGAUGGAUUCUGAGACACGAAUCCAGGUCCUACGGGGCGCAGCAGGCGCGAAAACUUUACACUGCGCGAAAGCGCGAUAAGGGGACCUCNAGUGCGUGCGCAAUGCGUACGUUUUCAGAUGCCUAAAAAGCAUCUGGAAUAANGGCCGGGCAAGACCGGUGCCAGCCGCCGCGGUAACACCGGCGGCUCAAGUGGUGGCCGCUAUUAUUGGGCUUAAANGGUCCGUANCCGGACCANUUANUCCCUUGGGAAAUCUUACGGCUUAACCGUAAGCUGCCAAUGGAUACUGCUGGUCUUGGGACCGGA